UAUAGGAGGUCAACCUGCCCAGUGAUUAUAGAUUCAACGGCCGCGGUAUUCUGACCGUGCAAAGGUAGCGUAAUCAUUAGUCUUUUAAUUAAAGACCUGUAUGAAUGGCCAAACGAAGGCUUAACUGUCUCUCUUUUCAAGUCAGUGAAAUUGAUCUACCCGUGCAGAAGCGGGUAUAAUUAUACAAGACGAGAAGACCCUGUAGAGCUUAAGGUACAAGAUUCAACUACGUCAAACAACUCAAUAAAAAACAAAAACCUUGUAGAAUGAGACUCUACCUUCGGUUGGGGCGACCACGGAGAAAAAUAAAUCCUCCAUAGUGGACUGGGAUAAUUAUCCUAAAACCAAGAGAAACAUCUCUAAGCCACAGAACAUCUGACCAAACAUGAUCCGGCCACAAAGCCGAAUAACGAACCAAGUUACCCCAGGGAUAACAGCGCAAUCCUCUCCCAGAGUUCAUAUCGACGAGGGGGUUUACGACCUCGAUGUUGGAUCAGGACAUCCUAAUGGUGCAGCCGCUAUUAAGGGUUCGUUUGUUCAACGAUUAACAGUCCUACGUGA
RNAcentral lists this ribosomal RNA (561 nucleotides) under Garra lissorhynchus. Its description in RNAcentral is "partial 16S ribosomal RNA". It matches the Rfam family "Bacterial large subunit ribosomal RNA", at positions 1844 to 2603 of the family's 2925-position model. Lineage: Eukaryota; Metazoa; Chordata; Actinopteri; Cypriniformes; Cyprinidae. The record is from RNAcentral.